UUUGCUUCUCCUUUCCUUGUGCUUCAUUACUUUGGAAGAGGCAAAGGAAGGGGGAGUAUG
This 60-nucleotide microRNA precursor is filed under the name Vombatus ursinus (common wombat). RNAcentral describes it as "miRNA (ENSVURG00010008470.1)". The record is from RNAcentral. Lineage: Eukaryota; Metazoa; Chordata; Mammalia; Diprotodontia; Vombatidae.